Oncorhynchus keta (chum salmon) is the source of this 7661-nucleotide RNA transcript. It is a transcript of the gene named leucine-rich repeats and immunoglobulin-like domains protein 2, with no coding region annotated. The transcript has 18 exons. The record is from RefSeq and is a predicted model, not a curated record. Lineage: Eukaryota; Metazoa; Chordata; Actinopteri; Salmoniformes; Salmonidae.
AGCUGUAAACAUGCUCUAAAGAGGCAGGAUUCACCAUAUGUUAUCGCUAUUGUUGUUCCUUCGAAACAUAUUUCGGAAUAAUCAUACUUUGGUAGCUAGAUAAUUCAUAUGUUUCGUCAGAACACUUUGUACGAUCCACAUCUGUUUGAUAUGAAGUCAAAUGAACUUGGUCCGUUGAAACAUCGACAUGCAGGUUUACUUUAAGAACGCUAGCUGCUAGCCACUUAUCUUGGGAUGUGUGAUGAGAUUGGAAGUUGAUGGAAAUUCUAAGGGAAAGGAGGAAAAAUCAGUUCUGGGCUGCCAUGGGCAAGUUGGAAUACAUUUUUUGUAAUGUUAUGCGACUCAUGUGAAAGAGGGGGUUUAUUUUAUUAAUAUGAAGUUAUAUGAAUCGGUUGGUGUUGUAGGUUAGACAUUUUAUAAUUGUCAGAAGCUAACUAGCCACGUAUUGAUAGUUAGACUUUUGAAAUGGCGGAAGGCUGGCCCAACCCCCCGGCUCUCUUGUUGUUGAGUUUGAGUGCCUGCUGGGCACUGGAUUCCUGCCCUGCUCCAUGCUCUUGUCCAAGGGGGUCAGACGAAAUCCAAAUCCUGGAUUGCAAUAGGAAAAGGUUGUCAGCGCCCCCCCUGGAUCCACCUCAUGGGAUAACUCGUCUCACUAUGAAUCAUAAUGAUCUGACAACUGUUCCAUACCUUGGAGAAGUUACCCCAAACAUCACAACACUCUCAUUGGUCCACAACAGGAUCUCGGAGCUGUGGAUGCAUCAGCUGCAUCCAUACAUCUCCUUCGAGACUUGAUCUGUCAUCUAACUCCAUCUCAGAGAUCAAGGCUGGAGCCUUCCCAACCAUGCAGCUGAAAUACUUGAAUUUAAGCAAUAACAAGAUCAGUGUCCUUGAACCUGGCUGCUUUGACAACAUAUCCAGCUCCCUGCUGGUUCUGAAGCUAAACAGGAACAGAAUAACACUGCAACCAUACAAAGUGUUCAGGCUUCCCCAGCUGCAGUUCCUGGAAUUAAAGCGUAACAAGAUCAAGGUGGUGGACAGCCUGACCUUCAAAGGGAUGGACUUACUGAAAUCACUGAAGAUGCAGCGGAAUGGCAUCACAAAGCUGAUGGACGGUGCUUUCUUUGGGCUCAACAACAUUGAGGAGCUAGAGCUGGAGCACAACAAUUUGACGGAGGUCAACAAAGGCUGGCUGUAUGGCUUACACAUGCUGCAUGUUCUGCGGGUCAACCAGAACACCAUCGGCAUCAUCCGACCAGAUGCCUGGGAGUUCUGCCAAAAGCUGGAGGAGCUCGAUCUGUCCUUCAACCACCUCACCCGGUUGGAGGAGACCGCGUUCAUUGGACUGGGCCUUCUGGAGAACCUGAACCUAGGAGAGAAUGCCAUCAGCCACCUGGGAGAGGGAGUUUUGAGCGGUCUGGCCAAUCUUCGCUCACUAGACAUACGGAAUAAUGAGAUCUCUUGGGCCAUUGAGGAUUCCAUUGGUGUGUUUGUUGGAAUGAAGAAGCUGAACACAUUGAUUCUACAGCAGAACAAUAUUAAAUCUAUCACAAAGGAAGCCUUUGAGAGUCUGGAGGAACUAGAGCACUUAGACCUGAGCAAGAAUGGGAUCAUGUCCAUCCACCUUGAUUCGUUGUCUCACAUGAACUUAAAAGUGUUUUUUCUGAACACUAGCAGCCUGCUGUGUGACUGCCAACUGCAGUGGCUGAGCCCAUGGUUGACUGACAACCGCUUCCUGCAGUCUGUCUCCGCUAUGUGUGCUCACCCUGCCAGCCUGCUGGGCCGUAAUGUCCUGUCUGUCAGCCUGGAGGAGCUGGUCUGUGAUGACUUCCCAAAGCCCCGGAUCACUGACCACCCUGAGACCGUCACCGCCCUGCGUGGGACCAAUGUGACUCUGAGCUGCCUGGCAUCCAGCAGCAGUGACUCCCCCAUGGCCACGGCCUGGAGGAAGGACGGGGAGGUGCUGUACGAUGCAGAGGUGCAGAAUUGCGCCCGCUACCAGGAGGGAAAACUGUUCUACACCACCGUGCUGUAUCUCCUCAACUUCACAGACGAGGGAUGCUACAAGUGUGUUGUCUCAAACCACUUUGGCUCGAACUACUCUAACAGGGCCAAGCUCACAGUCAAUGAGCUGCCGUCCUUUCUGAAGACUCCGAUGGACCUGACCAUCCACACGGGCACCAUGGCCAGGCUGGAGUGUGCUGCUGAGGGUCACCCAUCACCCCAGAUCGCCUGGCAGAAAGACAGGGGCACAGACUUCCCUGCUGCCCGGGAGAGAAGGAUGCACGUCAUGCCAGACGAUGACAUCUUCUUCAUUGCCAAUGUAAAGACAGAGGAUAUGGGAGUGUACAGCUGCACAGCCCAGAACGCUGCAGGGAGCAUGUCUGCCAACGCUACACUCACUGUGCUAGAAACUCCGUCCUUCAUGCGUCCCCCGGAGGACAGGACGGUAAGCUCGUGGGGAGACUGCAGUGCAUCGCAGGCGGAAGCCCAGCACCCCGCCUCAACUGGACCAAGGAUGAUGCGCCCCUGGUCCUCACCGAGCGACACUUCUUUGCCGACACCAACCAGCUCCUCAUCAUCGUGGACACUGGGUCGUCGGACACAGGGAAGUACACGUGCAUCAUGUCCAAUACGCUGGGCACGGAGCGCGGCCACAUCUACCUCAGCGUGUCUCCCAACUGCGAAACUGCGGGCGGCUACGACCAGGAUAGCUGGAACACGGUGGGCAUCGUGGUGAUCGUGGUGGUCUGCUGCGUGGUGGGCACCUCGCUGGUCUGGGCCAUCGUCAUCUACCACAUGCGAAGGAAGAGUGAGGACUACAGCAUCACCAACUCAGGGGAACAGGCUACAAGGGAACAGGCUACGUCCACAAGGGAACAGGCUACGUCCACAAGGGAACAGGCUACGUCCACAAGGGAACAGGCUACGUCCACAAGGGAACAGGCUACGUCCACAAGGGAACUGAUGGUGUGUGCUACAGUGACACAGGCAGCGAGGUGGACACCGAGGCCAACGGGAUGCUGCACUGCCGUGUGGGCACUCUGUUCAUGGGACAAAGCAUCUUCCAUCCUGGGCAGCCCCGUGAGGGACUGGCUGUGGUGUCGACAGGUGGUGCAGGGCUGCUGGUCAUUGCUCGGACUGCUACGACAACGCUAACAUGUACUCUCGGACCCGGGAGUACUACGCCUACCUGGCCAAGGAUGACCCCCUGGACAAGGGUCUCUCUGGCAUCAUGGCCCACCUUCCCAAGGAGCCCUAUGGGGAGCAGAGAGGCCAGCAUGAGGACACAGCCCUGGAGAGCCUCAUCAACAACCAGGACUCCUCAGUCUUCCUCACCAGCCACAACUCCUCAGUCUUCCUCAAGAAGAGGCUGAGCAAAGCCCUCUGGCCCCCGGAACAACACUAUAGCACCGGUGAGAGAUCAGCUACAGACUGUCUGAAAGACCUUAGUGGCAUGCAUGUCAACAGUGAGCUCACAGAGAUAUGUUUGGAAAGUGAUCUCACAAACCUGAUAUCUAACAGUGACCUCAGACAUACUGUGAACUGACAACGAACUGACCCAUGAAUUCUAAACCGUGAGCUCGCAGACUUUCAGACACCGACAUGUUCAAGUCUAUGAGCUCCUCUUUAUGGAUGCAUAUCCUUUCUGUUGAGUAAUGUAAGCAUUUCACUGUAAGGCCUGUUGUAUUUGGCACAUGAGACAAAUACAAUUAAUUUGUUUUUAUUUGAUGUCUGUUUAGUCUCUGCAGAUGCCCCCCAGGUCGUUUUGAGGCAAAGGGGAGGACUUGUCUACAGUGCCACGACUAGGUCUGUCACAGCACCCAGUGACUGUGCACACAACUCCCUAUGCAUUUUCAGUUGCUGAGGGAGGGGAGGGGAGGAGUGUGGAGGUGGAGCUCUCUCUUCCUCAGAGCACACAGUACCACAGAAGUGCCUCUUAUAUGACUACGUCUCAGGAGCACAUCCAAGCCCCCACAAAGCUCUGCCAAACCACUCUGCCAAAAAUACUUUCUUGUAUAUUUAGAUUAUUUCAGUCACGCAGAGACUUUGCUUCUAAUGAUUUUGAAAAUGGACCAUAUCUAGGGCUUGAGAACUGAACAGGUGAAUGACGCCCCCUGAUUCCCUCCACCCCCCCUUCCUCCCUCUCAUUCUAGAGGAAGCUAUGAAUGUUUGUGUCAAAGAGCCAUGUUGGAUGCUGCCUUUUUGAGUUUUAAGAUGUCACGCAUUUGAACGUUCUCUCAUGACGUACUGUCUGGAAGGUGGAAUGGCAGCAGUGUUGAUGGAUGCCCCAGUUAUUGUGCUUUCUGCUUGCAGAUGCCACAUUUUUGGUACAGUCUUGUUGGAGCAGCCUUAGUGAUUUAAGUUACAAGUCCAGGACAUAGCUUCCUCUCGUCCAGGACUAGAGGGGUCUAAGAGACCCCAGUUGUUUCUUGUUCAGCAGUGAGUGGUACAUACCUAUAGGAUCACUGAAUGAAUCCCCCCUCUAGCCAUCCGUAUUGACUGUAAUCGUCUACUAUUAUGCAAACCCAGAGACAAUGACACUAGAUGUGUGUGAGAUAUAAUUUUCACCUAUUAUCUAUGUCUCUUAAGCUAAGAUUGUUUUGCCUUGGGUCAAAGAGGCAGUCGUACCGAUAGUUACUCAUGUUUUUUUUGUAUGAAAACACACUAUCGAAGCACAGAAAAUAUUGGGUAUUGCACAUUAUUUUGAUAAUCAUGGUUCAGGUGGCCUCUUUAAUGGCCAUCUUUCAGAUGGUUUUCAACAGGCAUUCUCAGUAACCCUCCAUCGGGUAACCCUAUGGUUUCUAAUCACUUAUAUGCACUGAUCAUUUCCUCUCAAAAGCUUAUUUUACAGGCACUUACCUCAUACGUGGUGUGUUUUAUUAUGCAGUGUGUAUGCCUUUACCCCCAAUUUCAUCAAUACUGGCCAGAUUUAACCUUGGUACUGUGAAGAAUGUAUUGUAUGGGUUUAAACGUUUGUCUAUUCACAACUACUUAAUUCUAAGAAGGUAGUUGGAAUUAUUUUUGUCCUAACCUGCAGUAAGUUAGAUUUGUUUUUUGUGUGUAUGUCAGAAUUUUUGUAGUCACUCCAGGUUGAUUCCUAACUUGAGAUGGUAGAUUUCCUCAACAUUGUGGAAAGCAUGUAGAUCUCAAGUCAGGAUUUGGCCCAAAAUGUUGGUACAAAUUUAAUCGAGCUAAAACCAAGAUGUUUAAGGGUUGUCUUUCAUUUAAAUCACACCUGUUUCCUUUGCUCACAUAAAAUAAUCAUUUUGGCAAUGGAACAUAGAUAAUUCAGAAUAAGAUGUAGAUGUGUGAAGGCUUUACAAACAAAGAUACUACAUGAAGAUUGCCCUGACAGGUUUGGUUGAAUCUGUCCUUUAGUCAUUCUUUUUCACAUUUUUUUAAAUCUCACAAUUAUUGCACUUCUGAUUCAGCCAAACCUGAUUGCAUUUCUUCUCUCUCGUGUACACUUUCCCUUUUACGUGUAUGUCAACUACUAUGCUUUUAUUCCUGCCUCUACCAUAUUGACAGUUAUACAUUUCCAUGUAGGAUUGUUUCUUAGUUACGAUUUUAGCAUGAAUGCAUUGUGUAACUUUUUGAUAAGACGGAAUGUGUGACAUUGCUUGAUAAUGCAUCUGGUACAUUUUCAUAUUUUUGAGUUUGAUCAAAAAGGACUCCUUUUGUCAAUGUUGCAGUUGGUCUCAAACUGUUAUUUGUCUCUGUGGUACGUGACUUAACAAAUUUGCACAUGAUUCUUGUACACAAUUGAUUUUUGUUGUGGCUUUUCAAAAGUCCAUGGUUUUGAAGUUCUAUAAACCAGGUCAUCCCUUGUAUACCAAAAUAAAUCAUUCCAACCCCAUGCCACUGGAUUCAAUAUUGGCAUGAAUAGAGCUAAUACACAGAUUACAUUUUCUGCUGGAUAAUUAAAGCAUUUCAAUUCAAGGUAGUAAUUGUUGCCGAUAGUUUAAUCACUUUUUAUUUUAUUUGUAUUCUUUUUUUGCGCACUCCAUGUAUCCGGUAGAAACAGUUCUCUAAUCUGAGUCCAUAGUGUGUUUGCUCUACUGAAUGUUGGAUUUUAUAUUGAACAAAAAUAUAAAAGCAACAUGCAACAAUUUCAAUGAUUUUACUAGGCAACAGUUCAUAGAAGGAAAUCAGUCAAUUUAAAUAAGUUAACUAAUUGAAGAAUUUCACAUGACUGGGCAGGGGUGCAGCUAUGGGUGGGCCUGUGAGAGCAUAAGCCCACCCACUGGAGCCAGGCCCAGCCAAUCAGCCAGAUGUGGAGGUCCUGGGCUGGCAUGGUUACACAUGGUCUGCGGUUGUGUGUCCGGUUGAAAGUACUGCUAAAUUCUCUAAAGUGACAUCUUAUGCUUUAGAAAUUAUCUGGCAACUGCUCUGUUGGACAUUCCUGUAGUCAACAUGCCAAUUGCACGCUCCCUCAAAUUAAGAUAUCUGUGGCAUUGUGUUGUGACACAACUGAACAUUUUAGUGGCCUUUUAUUGUCCCCAGCACAAGGUGCACCUGUGUAAGCAUGCUAUUUAAUCAGCUUCUUGACCUGCCACACCUGUCAAGUAGAUGGAUUAUCUUGGCAAAUAAUAAAUGCUCACUAACCGGGAUGUAAACAAAUUUGUGCACAGAAUGAGAGAAAUAUGCUUUUUGUGCAUUUGGGAAAUUUCUGGGAUCUUCUAUUUCAGCCCAUGAAACAUAACACUUUACAUGUUGUGGUUAUUUUUGUUCAGUGUGUGUAUAUAUGGAUUUGUAUACUGACUGUUUUUUUUUCUAAUGGGAGCUCAACUAUGUCCACAUGACAUGCAUUUGUGUUUAAAGCAAACUUUCUUUUUUUUUCUACCAACCCAUCUUUAUCUUUGCCUUGUAUUGCUGACUGUCUUGUUUUUUUUCUUCUCUUUAUACCAAAGUUCAUCAGUAAUGCUCUGGCAAUAUUUAAAAUGCUGCUUGUUUUCUUUAUCAAAGUUUUUGUAUAGUUGUAUAUUCUGUAAAAAAACAAACAUUUUUGUUUCUUGAUAUGUCAUUAAACCAAUCACAAAUGUGAUCAUUCUGGCCAUAUGUGGUUUAAAAUGUACUAUGUGGAAAUAGGCUUUGAAGAAGUAAGAAAAAAAGGUCAAUAGUCAAGCCAUCUGCAAUGAGUCCAUGCCAACCUUAAGGUAAUCAUAUUUUCACGGAUCUUGGUCUUAAGUCCCACACCAACACUAUUAGGUGCAUAUAUUGCUGCUGUUUAACAGAGUAUGUAGAGUAGCAUCAGAGUUUGACUAAUCAUUGAGUCGUUGUGCUUUUCAGGGUGGGUAGAACAGAACUGGGUGUAAGUGAGUCAAUUCCUAGACCUCACCAAAGGCAUCAUCAUGACAGUGCUGCUCACCAGUCAACUAAUUAUUAAAGACGAUGUCCAGGGUGGCAUCAUCUCACUAACAAUCGUGAGAUGUGUGUUUGGUAUGUUUCAUCCAGAUAAAUGCUGCUAUGCAGAAGCAAGCACUUUGGAACGUGACACACCGUAUAGGCUGCACUGCAGAGACUAAGUUAAUAAAUAUCUGUGUGUGUCUGGAUUUUUUUUGACAUUUCUUGACUUCUCUGCCACUACAAAGUGAGUUAACUAUCAUAUGAUGCCAGCAAUUUAUUGAGGUUGAUGUAGGCCCAUUGUUGUUGAAUCAGAC